AGUGAACGCUGGCGGUAGGCCUAACACAUGCAAUUCGAACGGCAGCACAGUAAGAGCUUGCUCUUACGGGUGGCGAGUGGCGGACGGGUGCGGAAUACAUCGGAAUCUACUUUUUCGUGGGGGAUAACGUAGGGAAACUUACGCUAAUACCGCAUACGACCUACGGGUGAAAGCAGGGGAUCUUCGGACCUUGCGCGAUUGAAUGAGCCGAUGUCGGAUUAGCUAGUUGGCGGGGUAAAGGCCCACCAAGGCGACGAUCCGUAGCUGGUCUGAGAGGAUGAUCAGCCACACUGGAACUGAGACACGGUCCAGACUCCUACGGGAGGCAGCAGUGGGGAAUAUUGGACAAUGGGCGCAAGCCUGAUCCAGCCAUACCGCGUGGGUGAAGAAGGCCUUCGGGUUGUAAAGCCCUUUUGUUGGGAAAGAAAAGCAGCAGGUUAAUACCCCGCUGUUCUGACGGUACCCAAAGAAUAAGCACCGGCUAACUUCGUG
This 492-nucleotide ribosomal RNA is filed under the name uncultured bacterium. Its description in RNAcentral is "partial 16S ribosomal RNA". It matches the Rfam family "Bacterial small subunit ribosomal RNA", at positions 29 to 507 of the family's 1533-position model. The record is from RNAcentral.